Long non-coding RNA from Monodelphis domestica (gray short-tailed opossum), 3933 nucleotides. NCBI's taxonomy places the organism in Eukaryota, Metazoa, Chordata, Mammalia, Didelphimorphia, Didelphidae. The record is from Ensembl.
AUGGUCUCCUCUGUGCUGGUCAGUGUUGGGGUGUAUGCGCUGAUGAUUGUGGUAUACCGGUCUUUGCUGAGAGGCAAAAGGAUCUUCAUGAGCCUCUCACUGAUGCCCACAGGCAAGUCUGGCAGCUGUUUGAGCAAACUGGUCUUGAUAGCCAGGCCAACAGUGUGGAUUCUGUCUUCACUUGUGGCUCUACCUUUCCAGAAGAAGGUAUAUCCAGUAGUGGGUUCGCUGAAUGAUCCCUCUUCUGGUAAGCGUGUUUCGCUUAAGCCUCUGAUGUCGAUGUUAUAUCAUGCCAGUUCUUUACCGAUUAAAGCUGUUCUUCUCAAGACAUACCUAAGAAAUUACUUAUCCAGCCUUUGCUUGAAGAUCCCUUAUUGUUCACUCUUGGUGACUCCAUGUGGCCUGUGAAUGUCUGAACUCAGGAUUUGAAGUCAGGGAGAUUCCUGACUCAAGGCCUGACACUCUAUCCUAAAGAUCUCAAGGGAUGGGAAAUAAUUAUUUAAAUAUCCACAUUAUUUCAUUUGAGCUACAAAACAACUCAGUAAAGUAGAUAUCAUGGGUAUUGUUAUCCCUAUUUUACAACUGAGGAAACAAACUUACAGACAGUAAGCAACUUGCUCAUGGUCAUACACUUAAUUAAAUGCAACUGUGUACUGAUGCAACUUACUCUACUUUGGAUAGCAAUAAUUAUUUGGAUAUUUUCUUCAUGUCAGUCUUAAAUCUGCUUCUUUGAACCUUCUACCUAUGACUCUAGUUCUGUCCUUUCAGGACAAGCAGAACAAGUCUAAUCUUUCCACAUAACAUCCUUUAAAAUACUUUAAACUAGUUAUUAUGAUCCAAAUAAUUCAUUUCUUCUCCAAGCUAAACAUAGUUCCUUCAAUUGAUUCUAAUAUCGUAAAAUCUUGAGUUUCCUCACCAUCAUGGUUGCCUUGACCAAAUGUUCUCAAACCUACUAAUCUGUUCUAAAACAUGGCUCACAGAACUGAACAGAUAUUCAAGAUGUUAGUGAAUACAAUAGGACCUUAUUCAUAAACACUAUGUAGCCAAAUAUCACAUUAGCUUUGUUUGUAGUCUUUCAUAUUGUAUCAAAUCACUGACUCAGCUGAAUUUGAAGUUCACUAAAAACAUCAAGAUUUGGGGGAAAAAAUUCUAUCUAGUCAAGCCUCCCCACUCUUAACUUGUGAAUUUGAUUUUUUUGAACCGAAAACAUAAAAUUUUACAUUGAAAUUUUAUCCCAUUGGAAGGGAAGGAAGUAAAUGUUCUAAUCUGUGAAGAUAUUUUAAGAUCCUUUGAUUCACUGUCAUUAUCUUUCCUAGUUGUGUGUCAUCUGCAAAUUAGGCAAGGAUGUCAUCUGUGCUUUUAUUGAUACUAAUUAAACUAUAAGUAAGAAACUUUAUAGCUUGUGAUGGGAACCCUUUUCUUCUGUUACUGUAUCUCAAUUUUUUUCCCCCUAUUGCAGUGCUUUAUAGUAAAUCCUGCUGGGAUUUACUCCUUUAAAUCACUGAUAUGCUAUUAUCAGGAACCAAGGAGAAAGAAAAAAUGGAAAGCUAUGUGUCUUCCUCUUACCUUCUCCUCUACCCUCAGAGUUCUGAAAAAAAGAGAAUUCAGGUAAGUUAAGGGAUUUGAUGGCAGCAGAGACCCAACAGAUGGCACUAGCUAGUUGGAUCUCUCAUAGUGCCUGGCAGAAUAAUGAGACAGGUGCUACCAAAAUAUGAAACACUGCAGGGCACUAGUAGAGAGUGCAUUUUACCAUCUUCUUUCUCCCCACUGGCCUUUCCCCUUUCUUUGAAGGUCCUGGCACCAUAGCACCGGACACAUAAUACUAGUUCCAUUUUACAGGGAAAGUAAGUAGUUAACCAACAUUGCUUAGUUUGUGACAAAACCCAUAACUAUAUCCAGGUCUCCUAAUAGCUAGUACAGUACUCUUUCUACAAUAUUAAUAUGGUUUUUAAGAUUUUGCUAGAUGUUUAAAAAAGUAAACGUAUGAGUGAAAAGAUAGAUAGAUGGGCCAAUUGGUUUUUCUAACAAAGUAUUUCUGAUCUUAACAAAAAAAAAAGCCAAAUACCCCUAAGUAAAAUGGUGGGUUACUCAGCUGCUGUACUAUAAAAGUGGCAGCUAUAUAAUUUUAAAGCAUAAUAAUCUAAUUAGCCACAAACAGGUUUAUCAGGCUGAUGGAAUCCAGCACAACCCCCUAAAGAAUCAGCAAAUGAUUUUUCACUCUUUCCUUUCAAUUCUAGAGAGGGAGAGGAAUGCUGGCUCAAUAGUAAUUAGAAUGAACUGCAGCUUUUAAGCAGUCAAAGCUCCUGUUACCACUGAGACACAAGAAUGAUCUAAUCAGACACCAGGGUCAGAUAACACCAAAAAAAAAGGGUCUUUAAGGAUAUCAUAACAAUGGUUUAUAUCUACUUUGAGACUAUCCUGAAAUACAUUCCUACAACCAGAAAAGAUAUGUAACAUUUAAAAUUUAGGAAUAUGGGGAGACUGAGGCAGGUAGAAAUUAGUUUCUCUCUGCAAGGAGUAUUAUAUUUUUUAGAGGUUUAUUAAGGAUUAAGGAUUAAAGAAUAUACAAGUAAGAAACAUGUGCCUAGGCCAGAGGCCUAGACAAAAUAACCUCACAUCAUGGAAGAGACACCUCUGCCCCAAAAUGGAAGUCCAAAAGAGCCCCAAAAACCUUUUCCACCAGUUUAAAUCCUUCCUAGAUCUCAGCCCACCUCAGAAUUCCCAUGAGAUUACAAAGCAUUUGGGGGAAGUGGAGCAAAGGCUUGUGGGGAUUGUAGUCCUGUAUUUGAGUCUAUUUUUUACAGAUACUAGGGGUCAUGUAGGGAGACAAUGGAGAAAAGCUCAGCAAAAUAGACUAGAGACAUACCUAUUAGCCAAAGAGUGUAAAAAACUAUAAAAGUCAGAGAAGGAAGAUAAUAAGUAGGGAAAUUAUAUUCACUGGCCUCUUCAAUAGCCAUAGUAUUGUAACAGUUAAAAUUUAGGAAUUUGGGGAGAUGGGGGAGACUGAGGCAUCUGAGGCAGGUAGAAAUUAGUUUUUCUCUGCAAGGAGUAUUAUUUUUUUUGAGGUUUAUUAAGGAUUAAGGAUUAAAGAAAAGACAGGAUAAGAAACACGUGCCUAGGCCAGAGUGGCCUAGACAAAACCUCACCUACAUUAUGGAAAGAGCCAUGUCUGCUCCAAAAUGGAAGGCCAAAAAAGCGAGAGAGCCCUCAAAAGCCUUUGAAUCAGCUUAAAUACCUUCUCGAUCUCAGCCCAGGUGAGAUUACAAGGCAUUCUGGGGGGAUUGUAGUCCUGUAUUCGAGUCUAUUUUUUACAGUAUCCUUUUUAUACCUGUAAGCUUAUUAACUGGUUCUUCUAACCAGAAUUGGAAUUGCAAGUAAGAUAAACAUACACCUAAGAUACCACAUGGAAAGGAGCACAACAAAUCAAUCAACAAGAGUUUAUUAAAUAUCUACCAUAUGCCAAACACUGUGCUAAAUACUGGAGAAAACCAAAGAAUGAAAUAAUGAGAGACUUUUCCAUUCUGCUUUUUGUUUCAGUUGCUGUUUAGCUGUUUUUCAGUCAUGUCUGACUCUCCGUGACCCCUUUUUGGGAUAUUCUUGGCAAAGAUACUGGAGUGGUUUGCCAUUUCCUUUUCCAGUUCAUUUUAAGGAUAAAGAAAAUGAACCAAACAUGGUUAAGUGACUUGUCCAAAUCACACAACUAGUACAUAUCUGAGGCCUCCUUUGAACUCAGGAACAUGAGUUUUCCUGAUUCUAGGUCUGGCACUCUAACUUCUACAUCAUCUGGCUACUCUUGCUUUUUAUAAAUGUAUAUCAUUUGAAGGUCAUAUUGCUAUUCUUCUAGAGAAUUCUGUGAUUGUACUUACAUAUAAAUAGAUGUUUUUAUUGUGCUUCUGCUAUGAUGCCCCAAAAUAAACAUCUUAUAAGAAUUCA